AGAGUUUGAUUAUGGCUCAGAUUGAACGCUGGCGGCAGGCCUAACACAUGCAAGUCGAGCGGUAGCACAGAGAGCUUGCUCUCGGGUGACGAGCGGCGGACGGGUGAGUAAUGUCUGGGAAACUGCCUGAUGGAGGGGGAUAACUACUGGAAACGGUAGCUAAUACCGCAUAACGUCGCAAGACCAAAGUGGGGGACCUUCGGGCCUCAUGCCAUCAGAUGUGCCCAGAUGGGAUUAGCUAGUAGGUGGGGUAAUGGCUCACCUAGGCGACGAUCCCUAGCUGGUCUGAGAGGAUGACCAGCCACACUGGAACUGAGACACGGUCCAGACUCCUACGGGAGGCAGCAGUGGGGAAUAUUGCACAAUGGGCGCAAGCCUGAUGCAGCCAUGCCGCGUGUAUGAAGAAGGCCUUCGGGUUGUAAAGUACUUUCAGCGAGGAGGAAGGCAUUAAGGUUAAUAACCUUAGUGAUUGACGUUACUCGCAGAAGAAGCACCGGCUAACUCCGUGCCAGCCGCCGCGGUAA
This 524-nucleotide ribosomal RNA is filed under the name uncultured Raoultella sp. Its description in RNAcentral is "bacterial SSU rRNA". It matches the Rfam family "Bacterial small subunit ribosomal RNA", at positions 8 to 523 of the family's 1533-position model. The record is from RNAcentral. Lineage: Bacteria; Pseudomonadati; Pseudomonadota; Gammaproteobacteria; Enterobacterales; Enterobacteriaceae.